Molecule: ribosomal RNA, 460 nt
Filed under: uncultured bacterium
Lineage: Bacteria
Description: partial 16S ribosomal RNA
Rfam family: Bacterial small subunit ribosomal RNA
Source: RNAcentral
CCUACGGGAGGCAGCAGUGAGGAAUAUUGGUCAAUGGACGAGAGUCUGAACCAGCCAAGUAGCGUGAAGGAUGACUGCCCUAUGGGUUGUAAACUUCUUUUAUAUGGGAAUAAAAUGUUCCACGUGUGGGAUUUUGUAUGUACCAUAUGAAUAAGGAUCGACUAACUCCGUGCCAGCAGCCGAGGUAAUACGGAGGAUCCGAGCGUUAUCCGGAUUUAUUGGGUUUAAAGGGAGCGUAGGUGGAUUGUUAAGUCAGUUGUGAAAGUUUGCGGCUCAACCGUAAAAUUGCAGUUGAAACUGGCAGUCUUGAGUACAGUAGAGGUGAGCGGAAUUCGUGGUGUAGCGGUGAAAUGCUUAGAUAUCACGAAGAACUCCGAUUGCGAAGGCAGUUCACUGGACUGCAACUGACACUGAGGCUCGAAAGUGUGGGUAUCAAACAGGAUUAGAUACCCCUGUAGUC